Molecule: ribosomal RNA, 460 nt
Filed under: uncultured bacterium
Lineage: Bacteria
Description: partial 16S ribosomal RNA
Rfam family: Bacterial small subunit ribosomal RNA
Source: RNAcentral
CCUACGGGAGGCAGCAGUGAGGAAUAUUGGUCAAUGGACGGAAGUCUGAACCAGCCAUGCCGCGUGCAGGAAGACGGCUCUAUGAGCUGUAAACUGCUUUUGUACAAGGGUAAACCUGAAUACGUGUAUUCAGCUGAAAGUACUGUACGAAUAAGGAUCGGCUAACUCCGUGCCAGCAGCCGCGGUAAUACGGAGGAUCCACGCGUUAUCCGGAUUUAUGGGGUUUAACGGGUGCGCAGGCGGAUUGAUAAGUUAGAGGUGAAAUGUCCGAGCUUAACUCGGGAACUGCCUCUAAUACUGUUGAACUAGAGAGUGGAUGCGGUAGGCGGAAUGUAUGGUGUAGCGGUGAAAUGCUUAGAGAUCAGACAGAACACCGAUUGCGAAGGCAGCUUACCAAUCUAUAUCUGACGUUGAGGCACGAAAGCGUGGGGAGCAAACAGGAUUAGAUACCCUAGUAGUC